AUGGUUAAAAUAGAUCUUGCCAAGGCUUUUGAUAGAAUUGAAUGGGAUUUCAUUGUUAAAGCUCUUACCCGUAAAGGACUGCAUGGUCAUUUCAUAAAUUUAAUUUAUGCUUGCAUGGCUAUCCCCACUUUCUCGGUUAUUAUUAAUGGUCAGUAUGGCCGCUUUCAAAGUAGUAGGGGCAUUAGGCAGGGUUGCCCUCUGUCCCCUUACUUGUUCGUUCUGGCCAUCAAUGAGUUGUCAAUCUCUUUACAGGAAGCCAUGCUCGCCGACCACUUAUCAGGGAUUAUUUUAGGGCCAGGAUGUCCUCCUAUUCACUCAUUAAUGUUUGCUGAUGAUUUACUGAUUUGUGGACAAGCUACAGUUGAAGAAGCUACUCAUAUGCUUCAAAUUCUUCAAAGAUUUUGC
RNAcentral lists this ribosomal RNA (405 nucleotides) under Triticum aestivum (bread wheat). RNAcentral's name for it is "partial small subunit ribosomal RNA". The record is from RNAcentral. Lineage: Eukaryota; Viridiplantae; Streptophyta; Magnoliopsida; Poales; Poaceae.